This 1293-nucleotide long non-coding RNA is filed under the name Volvox carteri. Its description in RNAcentral is "long non-coding RNA (VCAR_LNC002382)". Lineage: Eukaryota; Viridiplantae; Chlorophyta; Chlorophyceae; Chlamydomonadales; Volvocaceae. The record is from RNAcentral.
UGAAAUGUUAUGGAUAGCGCGGAAAUUAAACGAGCCCCCCAAUGGAUCCGUUCUUCGGUAAGCAAAAUGCUUGUUGCCAUCUGUGGACAGGAGGCUUGAACGAAAGCCAGGCCAAUUGCCCAACUACUCGAAUGAUCAUAUGCCCAGGCUAAAUGCCAACAUCGUGCUUAGCCAAUGCCUUCUGCAAGGCAUGCAGUGUCUGGUUUAUCGAUAGUACAGGCAAAUUCUGGUAGUGGUAUUUCCUCGGGAAAGAACGAUACCUGCGGUUGGCAGUAGGAUACCUAGCCUUCCGGCCUGUCUGGAACCCACAUACGGAUAUCUCGAUGGCUAUAACCUCCCUCAACGUCUAUAACUGGUCACACAGGACAAAGGCCACGCAAUUACUUUGCGACAGGCCCACGACAAAUGACGUAAAUCGAAACGGAUGGAACACGAUCGCGCGCCGACACACCAAUUACUACUAACAGGAAUUCCUUUGAAAGUAUUUUAUUUGAGGUUGCAUAAUAGAAAGAAGACAUUCACAAGCGCGCUAGUCUGCGGCAGUUAGGAAUUUCACGUAAGCUUAUUGACGAAGCUAGGCAUUUCGCUCCACGGCGCUCGCAGACGCUAGAACGCACAGUGCUCUCUGUAGAGAUGGAGAAGGAUGAAAGCGGCUUUUGUGAUCCCUCACGUAUCCUUGUCUCCGCAUUCCAGCGUUCGAAGAGGAGCCAGUCGGAAGUUACCCGAAACGACGCAAUCCAAACCCAGCGUGCAUCCCCGCAUGCGCAUUUCUCCCUGGUAAGGCAUGCAGGGCUUCUUAACCAUCCAUGUACAGAACGCUUCCGUAACUUGCGUACAAUGUUAUGAAUGCUACGACCAGCCUUUAAGUGGAUUCACUCCAUGAUAUUACUGGUACAGUUGCUGAGGAAAAUGUUUUCAAAGCCAUUGAUGGUGGAGGGCACUGCCUUGCCGGGGUCAGGGUAAGUCCUGUACACAUUCUGAAACCCAGUAUUACCUACAAAAUAGAAGACACACGUAGGAAUUUGCACGAAAUGAAACUGAAACGUGAUAACGAGUGAAACAAGCCUUGAGCUCGACGGUGGGCGACACGAAGCAGGAUAAGAAGUGAGCGACUAUAACCUACCUAUGUCAUGCAUAACGUACACGGACAUAGAGUUCCGGCUGGUGAAGAAUUUGCAAGCUGUGACUAACCCAAACCGUCUGCUCGUCUUUCUCUCAGGCUCCUCACGAGAAAUCGUGUGAUGGAUGAUUAUGUGUCAGAAUCAAAUUUUUGGUAACUGAAGUAGCUUAAAG